AAGGGUCGUUGGAGACUACAACGUUGAUAGGUUGGGUGUGUAAGGACUGCGAGGUCUUGAGCUAACCAAUACUAAUUACCCGUGAGGCUUAACCAUACAACACCCAAGUGGUUUUAAG
Molecule: ribosomal RNA, 118 nt
Filed under: Colwellia sp. MB3u-4
Lineage: Bacteria; Pseudomonadati; Pseudomonadota; Gammaproteobacteria; Alteromonadales; Colwelliaceae
Also listed under: 1 other name
Description: partial 23S ribosomal RNA
Rfam family: Bacterial large subunit ribosomal RNA (bases 1-96)
Source: RNAcentral